CACGCUCUAUAGGAUUUGAACCUACGACAUCGGGUUUUGGAGACCCGCGUUCUACCGAACUGAACUAAGAG
Molecule: transfer RNA, 71 nt
Filed under: Cucumis sativus (cucumber)
Lineage: Eukaryota; Viridiplantae; Streptophyta; Magnoliopsida; Cucurbitales; Cucurbitaceae
Description: tRNA-Trp
Source: RNAcentral